AAGGAUCAUUACCGAGUGCGGGCUGCCUCCGGGCGCCCAACCUCCCACCCGUGACUACCUAACACUGUUGCUUCGGCGGGGAGCCCUCUCGGGGGCGAGCCGCCGGGGACUACUGAACUUCAUGCCUGAGAGUGAUGCAGUCUGAGUCUGAAUAUAAAAUCAGUCAAAACUUUCAACAAUGGAUCUCUUGGUUCCGGCAUCGAUGAAGAACGCAGCGAACUGCGAUAAGUAAUGUGAAUUGCAGAAUUCAGUGAAUCAUCGAGUCUUUGAACGCACAUUGCGCCCCCUGGCAUUCCGGGGGGCAUGCCUGUCCGAGCGUCAUUGCUGCCCAUCAAGCCCGGCUUGUGUGUUGGGUCGUCGUCCCCCCCGGGGGACGGGCCCGAAAGGCAGCGGCGGCACCGUGUCCGGUCCUCGAGCGUAUGGGGCUUUGUCACCCGCUCGAUUAGGGCCGGCCGGGCGCCAGCCGACGUCUCCAACCAUUUUCUUCAGGUUGACCUCGGAUCAGGUAGGGAUACCCGCUGAGCUUAA
Molecule: ribosomal RNA, 528 nt
Filed under: Aspergillus sp. 'merzlota'
Lineage: Eukaryota; Fungi; Ascomycota; Eurotiomycetes; Eurotiales; Aspergillaceae
Description: eukaryotic LSU rRNA
Rfam family: 5.8S ribosomal RNA (bases 168-321)
Source: RNAcentral